CCUACGGGGGGCAGCAGUGGGGAAUAUUGGACAAUGGGGGGAACCCUGAUCCAGCCAUGCCGCGUGUGUGAAGAAGGCCCUCGGGUUGUAAAGCACUUUCAGUGAGGAAGAACGCCUGGUGGUUAAUACCCAUCAGGAAAGACAUCACUCACAGAAGAAGCACCGGCUAACUCCGUGCCAGCAGCCGCGGUAAUACGGAGGGUGCGAGCGUUAAUCGGAAUUACUGGGCGUAAAGCGCGCGUAGGUGGCUUGAUAAGCCGGUUGUGAAAGCCCCGGGCUCAACCUGGGAACGGCAUCCGGAACUGUCAAGCUAGAGUGCAGGAGAGGAAGGUAGAAUUCCCGGUGUAGGGGUGAAAUGCGUAGCGAUCGGGAGGAAUACCAGUGGCGAAGGCGGCCUUCUGGACUGACACUGACACUGAGGUGCGAAAGCGUGGGUAGCAAACAGGAUUAGAUACCCUAGUAGUC
RNAcentral lists this ribosomal RNA (465 nucleotides) under Vreelandella stevensii. RNAcentral describes it as "partial 16S ribosomal RNA". It matches the Rfam family "Bacterial small subunit ribosomal RNA", at positions 338 to 795 of the family's 1533-position model. The record is from RNAcentral. Lineage: Bacteria; Pseudomonadati; Pseudomonadota; Gammaproteobacteria; Oceanospirillales; Halomonadaceae.